Non-coding RNA from Chiloscyllium plagiosum (whitespotted bambooshark), 611 nucleotides. Lineage: Eukaryota; Metazoa; Chordata; Chondrichthyes; Orectolobiformes; Hemiscylliidae. The record is from RefSeq and is a predicted model, not a curated record.
UCGACAGGUUGAACCGAAGAAGUGAUUGAUGUCAGCGGCGGACCAAUGCAUAGGCAGGGGAGGAGCUGGAGGACCUGGCGAGGCAGUUGGUCCUCCGACCAAUUAAUGAAUGAGGGCGGGACUAGACUAUACCACGUGAUCAUCCUCGCGGUGGGCAUGGAUGUUCGGAGUGUGUGUGCGCGGAGAGCUGUCGGCAAGGAAAGAAAUAAACAGCAGGAAGCGGGAGGGAAAUGGUGUUGGUAUGGUCUGAGAGGUUUUACAAUCAUUUGGUACACAUCGGAAAAUACAAAUUUGAAACUUACAGUCCCGUUUUUGCAGCAAACGGGAAAAUGCCUCGUUGAUAAUCGGCCCGAAAACCAGUGAUCAAUGCCAAAGCCUUGUUGCCUGUGGAGCGGGUGAUGUUUGACUUCCUUGUACUGCUGCAGUUUGUAUGGUGAAGGUGCUCCCACAACGUGGUUGGGCCUGUGACAAUGAGAGUACACAGACAGUAUGUUCCUGUUAAGGUCAAGGCUGGGAGGCGUCGAGAAUGCUGCGUGACAUGUGAAAUUGAGGCUCUGGUCAAGAAAAUGAAGGAAGGAUAUGGCAGGUACAGACCACUGUGUGAAUCCCUA